GGUGGUGAGUAAGCAUACAGAGUGAUGAUGCCCACACUCUUUAAUCAGAGACAUCAAAAAUUCAAAUGGCGAAAACAACUACGCUCUCGCUGCUUAAUCGAAGCACAGUAGAUUAGCUUUAUCGCCGCAACAGUUGCGGCGACGAGACAUCACCCGAUUGUCCUUUUUCCGAGACUAAUCGAUCAGGUGGUGCAGGUAAAUCGGAAAUAUGGCGAUGACAGCCUCGAUAGUCGCCGAGACCCUUAGAGGAUAAGGUUAUGAUUGGCCGUCUCUUGCCUGUUAUGACACGAAAACCAACAUGAGAAUAAGUAUGUAGAAAGCUCAUUGUCCGAACGACUGGACGAGGGUUCAAACCCCUCCAGCUCCACUG
This 370-nucleotide transfer-messenger RNA is filed under the name Muribaculaceae bacterium. RNAcentral describes it as "partial transfer-messenger RNA". It matches the Rfam family "transfer-messenger RNA". From Rfam's summary of the family: Bacterial tmRNA, also known as 10Sa RNA or SsrA, is named for its dual tRNA and mRNA-like properties. The record is from RNAcentral. Lineage: Bacteria; Pseudomonadati; Bacteroidota; Bacteroidia; Bacteroidales; Muribaculaceae.